CUGAUGCGUUGUUGGGUAGGGGAGCGUUCUGUAAGCCUGCGAAGGUGGCCUGUGAGGGUUGCUGGAGGUAUCAGAAGUGCGAAUGCUGACAUAAGUAACGAUAAAGCGGGUGAAAAGCCCGCUCGCCGGAAGACCAAGGGUUCCUGUCCAACGUUAAUCGGGGCAGGGUGAGUCGACCCCUAAGGCGAGGCCGAAAGGCGUAGUCGAUGGGAAACGGGUUAAUAUUCCCGUACUUGGUGUUACUGCGAAGGGGGGACGGAGAAGGCUAUGUUGGCCGGGCGACGGUUGUCCCGGUUUAAGCGUGUAGGCUGGUUUUCCAGGCAAAUCCGGAAAAUCAAGGCUGAGGCGUGAUGACGAGGCACUACGGUGCUGAAGCAACAAAUGCCCUGCUUCCAGGAAAAGCCUCUAAGCAUCAGGUAACAUCAAAUCGUACCCCAAACCGACACAGGUGGUCAGGUAGAGAAUACCAAGGCGCUUGAGAGAACUCGGGUGAAGGAACUAGGCAAAAUGGUGCCGUAACUUCGGGAGAAGGCACGCUGACACGUAGGUGAAGUGAUUUACUCAUGGAGCUGAAGUCAGUCGAAGAUACCAGCUGGCUGCAACUGUUUAUUAAAAACACAGCACUGUGCAAACACGAAAGUGGACGUAUACGGUGUGACGCCUGCCCGGUGCCGGAAGGUUAAUUGAUGGGGUCAGCGCAAGCGAAGCUCCUGAUCGAAGCCCCGGUAAACGGCGGCCGUAACUAUAACGGUCCUAAGGUAGCGAAAUUCCUUGUCGGGUAAGUUCCGACCUGCACGAAUGGCGUAAUGAUGGCCAGGCUGUCUCCACCCGAGACUCAGUGAAAUUGAACUCGCUGUGAAGAUGCAGUGUACCCGCGGCAAGACGGAAAGACCCCGUGAACCUUUACUAUAGCUUGACACUGAACAUUGAGCCUUGAUGUGUAGGAUAGGUGGGAGGCUUUGAAGUGUGGACGCCAGUCUGCAUGGAGCCGACCUUGAAAUACCACCCUUUAAUGUUUGAUGUUCUAACGUGGACCCGUUACCCGGGUUGCGGACAGUGUCUGGUGGGUAGUUUGACUGGGGCGGUCUCCUCCUAAAGAGUAACGGAGGAGCACGAAGGUUGGCUAAUCCUGGUCGGACAUCAGGAGGUUAGUGCAAUGGCAUAAGCCAGCUUGACUGCGAGCGUGACGGCGCGAGCAGGUGCGAAAGCAGGUCAUAGUGAUCCGGUGGUUCUGAAUGGAAGGGCCAUCGCUCAACGGAUAAAAGGUACUCCGGGGAUAACAGGCUGAUACCGCCCAAGAGUUCAUAUCGACGGCGGUGUUUGGCACCUCGAUGUCGGCUCAUCACAUCCUGGGGCUGAAGUAGGUCCCAAGGGUAUGGCUGUUCGCCAUUUAAAGUGGUACGCGAGCUGGGUUUAGAACGUCGUGAGACAGUUCGGUCCCUAUCUGCCGUGGGCGCUGGAGAACUGAGGGGGGCUGCUCCUAGUACGAGAGGACCGGAGUGGACGCAUCACUGGUGUUCGGGUUGUCAUGCCAAUGGCACUGCCCGGUAGCUAAAUGCGGAAGAGAUAAGUGCUGAAAGCAUCUAAGCACGAAACUUGCCCCGAGAUGAGUUCUCCCUGAGACUUAGAGUCUCCUGAAGGAACGUUGAAGACGACGACGUUGAUAGGCCGGGUGUGUAAGCGCAGCGAUGCGUUGAGCUAACCGGUACUAAUGAACCGUGAGGCUUAACCUUACAACGCCGAAG
RNAcentral lists this ribosomal RNA (1745 nucleotides) under Salmonella enterica subsp. enterica serovar Enteritidis. Its description in RNAcentral is "partial 23S ribosomal RNA". It matches the Rfam family "Bacterial large subunit ribosomal RNA", at positions 1213 to 2925 of the family's 2925-position model. The record is from RNAcentral. Lineage: Bacteria; Pseudomonadati; Pseudomonadota; Gammaproteobacteria; Enterobacterales; Enterobacteriaceae.